Molecule: unclassified non-coding RNA, 305 nt
Filed under: plant metagenome
Description: partial contains 5.8S ribosomal RNA, internal transcribed spacer 2, and large subunit ribosomal RNA
Rfam family: 5.8S ribosomal RNA (bases 1-105)
Source: RNAcentral
GAAAUGCGAUAAGUAAUGUGAAUUGCAGAAUUCAGUGAAUCAUUGAAUCUUUGAACGCACAUUGCGCCCGCCAGUAUUCUGGCGGGCAUGCCUGUUCGAGCGUCAUUUCAACCAUCAAGCCCCCGGCUUGUGUUGGGGACCUGCGGCUGCCCGCAGGCCCUGAAAAACAGUGGCGGGCUCGCUGUCACACCGAGCGUAGUAGCAUACAUUCUCGCUCAGGGCGUGCUGUGGGUUCCGGCCGUUAAACGACCUUCAUAACCCAAGGUUGACCUCGGAUCAGGUAGGAAGACCCGCUGAACUUAAGC